Molecule: long non-coding RNA, 2352 nt
Organism: Ostrea edulis (European flat oyster)
Lineage: Eukaryota; Metazoa; Mollusca; Bivalvia; Ostreida; Ostreidae
Exons: 3
Source: RefSeq, a predicted model, not a curated record
UCAGUGGAAAACAAAAGGGAAAACAAAAGACUGCAAGAAAUCUUAAAGUAAUCCCCAGUACAAUGAGACGGAGAGAUAAGAUUGUGUACUUCAGUGCGGUUUGAAAUUGGUGGGGUAUUGGUAGGCACGACCUCCAGGAAGUUGAGGUCCAUGAAACGUAAUGAUUUCACGUGAAAUGUAAAAUCAUGUGACACUUUUCUAUCAAACGUUUUUACAUGCAAAUAUUGUUAUGACUUCAGUACUAAUGUGCUUUCUCUUCCAUUUCAGGAUCACAGAUAUAGAUAAUCACUUUACUGUCCUGAACCCGGUUGUAUCCAUAUUUAAUGUGGCAUUAAAACUUCAUUAAAUUCAAAAUAUUCCAUGCAAUAUUAAUUUCCGUUGUAUCAUUGCUUUAAGGUAACUCAUUACACCACACUUUUAUUUAACGACUCGUUAAAACACCUCAUAUGAUAUAUGGUUUCACUAUCGAAAGAGUGAUGGAAGCUCUCAAUUAUUAGAUAUGAAGUUUUUGUGAUUUAUCGGGAAUGAUAAAAAGGACGGUUUUUUGCAAAUAAGAAAUUGUAGAGUCCAAAUUUCGCUGUGAUUUGGUGCAUGCCAUUAAUAUCUAUUAAAGCGUAUCUAAAAGACUAAGAUACAAACGUUGUAAUGUUUUAAAGAAAAAAAUUGAAAAUUGAAAACGUUAUUUUUUAAAUAUUUGUUAAAUCUAUGGAUAAAAUCUUUAAAAAAAAAAGCAAACAAACAAGCAUGUCAAUUGGAAAAGAGAUAUAUCGACGAAAUAUAUUUUAAGAAUAUUUGUUAAUUUCAACAAAGUCUUCAACACCGUCUUCAGGAAUGAUGCAUAGAUUGUACAAAAUGCGGUCUAAAACAAUGGCUCUCACAAUCUCGUCAGGGUCAUGAAUUGUAACAUCAGUCAGUUAUCUAAAACCUUUCUUUAAACUGGUCAAUAUACUUCUUUCCACAACUUGUCUUCCUGACGACAUAACUCUUCAGAAUCUUCUUUGUUGACUAUUUAAUCUGCGAUUAAUUUUAAUGGAGUAAUAAGCCAGUCUUUAAGGGAAUACGCGCUGCAAUAAUAUAUUUAUUUGCAUUAAGAUAAUGACUUUGAUUUAUUAAUACUGAAGCAUCAUGGGCUGAAACAUAGCAGUCGAUAUAAGCAUUGCGAAUAAGCAUAUCAGCACCCACCGUUAUCUGUGAAGAAAGAGAGGCAAUUCAAGUUUUGCAUAUUAUAUGCUUAGCAUGCAAUACAGCAUAAUCAAGUUCCUGACAUUCUAUUUUUUUCUUUUGAUAUGUAAUUGUCAAACAUUACCUGAAGCUUCAUAGAGGGAAAAUACUUCCUGUUUAAGAAAUCUGUGUCUCUCCCCUUUUUAUGCAAGAUGAAAGUCGUAUUUCUGGCAGUCCACAUUUCAGCUGGAAAUCUUGAGCAAUAUGCUGUUGCUCGUUAAAAUCUGGCAAGCUAAUUAUCUUAAUCAAAUUAAUUUUAAACAAUUUUAGUAUUACAUCUAACGACAUUGGCGCAUUUACCGAGUCAGUUCACCAAAACUGUCUUCUAAAUGGAAAAUAGCGGAUACGCAUUGUCAUAUAUGGUAACUUACAGUGAUGUACCACCGUUUUCAAAAGCAUGGGAGGGACAACUUUGAAAAAGGAGUGGGCUUACCAAAUUUUCCUGACAAGAGAAAAGACAUGAAAAGAAAUUAUUCAUAUAGAAAAAGGUCUAAAGUUAGAUCUAGUAACGUCGGGGGAUGGGCAAAAUAGCCCCUCCCCCUGUUGCCACGUCCCCAGCUUAUACAUGUAGAGUUUACCAAAAUCCCCAAUAUCUUGUUUCUUUUAUGAAUUCGCUCUAUUGACAGUGUCCACAGCCCAUAGUAAAUGCGCUGAUUCUUUAAAACUUUUGAGAUGUGGAUGAACGCAUUUUAAAAGUUGUAACGUAACUAUUGGUACUUUUGGCAGCUUUUUAUUCAUGUGUCAAUUCAAUCUUUUUACAACAGCGUGAACAGUUGACAUCGUUAUGUUGAAAAGAUGCCCAUUUUCCCUCAUGGGUUGUUACAGGAUAGCUUAGAUAUACCAAAACUUGUUUGCUUGGAACAACAUCUGCAGAACCACCUCCGUGCUGUGACGAAAGCAUUCGCCUAUCGUCAAUUGAUACAAUGUCGUAGAACAUUUCUUUACUUAUUCUAAAGUGAAAUCUAAAAUCAGAUUGACAAAUGGCAGAAUAUGUUGUCAUCAUCUAAAUCCUUCCGAUUAUUUGUUGUCGAUGAAGCCCAUACCGUUGUUCGUUGGUAGGUAUAAUUAUUUAUUUACAGAAAACAAAUUUCAAUAUUGUGAUAUUAUUUCCAAAUAAAAAGAAAUAUUUUA